Molecule: ribosomal RNA, 310 nt
Filed under: uncultured bacterium
Lineage: Bacteria
Description: bacterial SSU rRNA
Rfam family: Bacterial small subunit ribosomal RNA
Source: RNAcentral
GAUAAACGCUGGCGGCGUGCCUAACACAUGCAAGUCGAACGAUCCCGCAAGGGAGAGUGGCGGAAGGGUGAGUAACACGUGGGAAUCUACCUCCUCGCAGGGAACAACCUCUCGAAAGAGAGGCUAAUACCCAAAAGGGUCAGAAAUGAUCAGAGUCGAAAGGCGUGAGGAGAGGAGCCCGCGGCCCAUCAGCUAGUUGGUGAGGUAAUGGCUUACCAAGGCUACGACGGGUAGGGGAUCUGAGAGGAUGUCCCCCACACUGGAACUAGAAACAACGGUCCCAGACGCCUACGGGUGGGCAGCAGUGAGG